Molecule: long non-coding RNA, 1822 nt
Organism: Esox lucius (northern pike)
Lineage: Eukaryota; Metazoa; Chordata; Actinopteri; Esociformes; Esocidae
Source: Ensembl
GGUAAAUAACGUCUGAAAAAAAACGGCCCCAGGAGAACAUUUAUGGUCACCUUUGGCUCCUGAACGUCCCGGUCACGUCAAUAAGAGCACAGCUCCUCCACCUCGGUGACACGGACUGAAACACUGAGCUGGGUCCCGCUAAGCCUCUGUCUGAGAGGAAUGGGCAGGGCAUGAAGGGACAUGCAGGCAGAGAAGGGCCCAGGGACCUGUGCUGGCUGAGGAACCAGGCAGUUGCUCACAUAACCACUGCAGCCCCCCCCCCCCCCCGCCCAUUGCUUAGGGGACCAACACUGGUUAACGGAAGAGGGCGACCAUAUAUCAGUCAUGGCUUCAUCCCAGGUCCCCACAUGCUCGUGCUGAGAUGGAGGCAGUGUGAGGGUGCCCACAUCCUCACCUCAGUGGCGGAUCGAAGUGGGCUUGUGUGUGUGGGACUCCCAGUUCCCUCUCCGCGUGUUGCGAUAUGAACCCCAGUAUGUGCCGUUGUGCGUCCUCCCCCGCCCCUCCUCUCCUCGGCCGAAGCCAGGUCUGUUCGUCGCUAAUGGAGCUGCACCACUCAGGCCUCGAGAGGAGGAGGCAGCCAGCCUGGAAAUGGCGGGCAUAAAUCAUGCAUUCCUGCGCUCGCUUACGCAGCCCCCCCCCCCCCCCCCCUUGUUAAAAAUGCAUGCCGCUGAGUACGGCCCUCUUACGGGAUGAACGCUUUCCAGCCGAGAGAACAGGAGCACAGCUGAGAAAGCCAGGCGUGGGGCGGGGCUUCCAUUAAACUGUUCCUGCCGCUGUUGCUAAUGAAUGAAUUUCUGCCCACCUUGACAUAUUGGCUUCACAAGUCAUAAAUGGCACUGAUCCCAUCCUUCAUCUAUUCCCACUCUGACAGUAAUUGACAGCGCAGCUCGUUGGCAAUAUGUUAUUUUAUCCCAGUGUUUCAAUGAACCAGGUCCUGAGUCAUUUAUGCGCGCUGCGAGCCGAGUGAGUGGUCUUCAACUCUUAUGCAGGCUCUCCUAAUGGGAGCCCCUUCGGCCACCAUUACUGCUGCACAAACAAUGACGUGCGGCUACAGUAAAACAACGGCAAUAUAAAGUUCGACCACCCCCCCCACCCCCCCCGUGUUUGCAAGGCAGGUCUCCUCAUAGUCAUAUAGGUGGUCAUGUCCGCUGGCCACUGAUUGGGUCGGGAGUUGAACAAAUGGUCACUGGAGUCAUAGCGGACCACAGAGCUGUUUGUCUAUGUCACUGUAAGAACGUAGAUCCCACUGGCUCUUUCGGGUUAUCUUUUUAAAUAUGCUUUUUCAGACAUUUAUGCUAGAUUGAGACAGUGGGGAAAGACGGGAGAGUCGGACGGUUUCCAAUCUAUGAUGCAGCAGUACAUGAGCACUGGAGGCAGUGGAUUAGACCACUGGACCAGCCAAGGCCACAAUGAUUCAUGUUAUUAAUUGUGGAUUCACACAUGCUGUGUGACACAGAAAUACAGACAUAGAAAUGUGCUCUAGACAUUAGAUACAAGCUUGGCUUACAAAAUCACAGUGAUCAGAGACGGAGUAAUGAUUGUGAAUCAGUUCUGGGUGUAGUCGUUGUUAUUAUCCAUGAUUCUUUAAAUGACUAGAGAGUGAAAAUGCGGCUGAAUACAGAUCCCUCUAAGAUUUGGGACACUUUUGUUCCUGAAGAUUCGCAUAAUGGCAUUUAAGCAUGGCUGGAGAAGACACAAAGGGAAAGCUGGCAGUUAUCUCUUUUGCUGCUUUGUGCGGAAAAAAUCUAUACAAACCUAAAUUUCUUUGUCUGAUGGAAAUGACUGGAUAUCACAAAUAAAGCGCUGUUUCCAGUAAGCUUUG